CGUUUUUUCUAGAUAUAAUAAUUUUGACCCGAAGCCUUUUAUAAUUUGUUUUGAACCACUUCCGGCUUGUUGGUCAUGUCUUGGUGUGAUUCAUCCGCCAUUAUUAAUUGUGAAUUUAAAUAACAUAUGUCAGUUGUGUAAUAAGACGUACGUUUCAAAUCAAAACUCAAACAUUUGUGUAUUCUCGAUUAGUAAAAAUGGAUAUGAGUGUAUAUUUAACAGCUCCUUUACAAAUUGAUAGAAUUUGUCGAGCGUGUUUAUCAGAAAAAGGCGACAUGAGGCCUCUUUUUGGAGCUUGUUUGGACGAAAUGCUUGUUUCAUUUGCUUCAGUACAGGUUCAAGAAGGUGAUGGUUUACCAAAUUUGAUGUGCGUACAAUGUGUCUUGCAAUGUAGUAGGGCAUACACAUUUAAACAGCAGUGUGAAAAAUCGGACAGUAUUUUGAGACAAUAUAUGAGUCCUGAAUUUCAGGACCAACUUGCUAAAUCUAUAGCAGAACAGCAAGUAAAAGAAGAGCUUCGUGAACAACUUAAUUUUUCAGAUAAUGUUAAUGCAAUGGACCAUUUGUCAACUGAAUUGGUAGAUUAUAGUGAAGAUGGUUGCACUUUGGAGCUUAGAUCUGAUUUUCCUGAUGAAGAUCACAACGGGGAAGAUAAUUUAGAUGACCCACUGUUAAUUGAGCAGAAACAAAAUGCACAGAAAUUAAAACAUGCAUGUACAAAAUGUGAUGCAUCUUUUUUAUUAAAAGUAGAUCUAAAGGUGCACAUGAUGUCCCAUCCUAAAGAUUUGGAUCAUGUGUGUCAUGUAUGUCAAAAAGGAUUUUCAGAAGCCCGAAUUCUAAAAAGACAUUUAAAAAUACAUCUUGAAAAGAAACCUCAUCAGUGUGACCAGUGUGAUAUGUCAUUUGCAGAAAGUUCUAAUCUUAGUAAACACAAGAAGAAGCAUACAGGAGAGCUGCGUAAUAUUAAAGGAAAACCUCAUUUAUGUUCUGUAUGUGGAAGAUCAUUUAAAUGGGCAUCCAGUUUAUCAAAACAUAUGAAAUAUCAUACUGGCCACAAAUUACUUACUUGCAAAUUUUGUGGAAAACAGUAUGUUGAAGCAAGAAGCUUAAGAAUCCAUAUUAGGUCACAUACAGGAGAAAGGCCAUAUGUCUGUGAAGUAUGUCAAAAGAGUUUUACACAGCUUUGCAAUUUAGAAAAACAUGUUAGAGUUCAUACAGGGGAAAAACCAUUCUUAUGUCCUAUUUGUGGAAAAGGUUUCAGUCAGUCGGGUUACGUAGGUGUUCAUAUGCGCACGCAUACAGGCGAGCGACCUUAUGUGUGUACCACAUGCGGUAAAGCAUUCGCCGGUUCUAACACAUUGGCUAUUCAUCAGCGAAUACAUACAGGGGAGAAGCCUUACGCGUGUAAUCUUUGUGGAAAAGCGUUCAGUCGUCAUGAAACUCUUAUCAUACAUACCAGAUCGCAUACGGGAGAUAAACCUCACGUAUGUGGCGUGUGUAAUAAAGGAUUUACUUCGAGUGGGCACCUCUCUGGGCAUCUUCGGACUCAUACAGGAGAAAAGCCUCACGGAUGUCACAUUUGUGGUAAAAGAUUUGCCGGUUCAAGUAGCUUAAAAGUUCAUCUAAGAGGGCAUUCUGGUGAGAAACCGUAUGUGUGUAAGAUUUGUGGAAAGAACUUUUCACAGACUAGUUCUUUACAUCAGCAUGUCGCAACGCACGGCACAAUAUCAAAAAGAAUGUUAAAAAUUGAAGCUGUAUCUGUUGGCGAAAUUCUGAACAGCGCUGGUGAUACAAUCCACACAGUUCAAAUCCAAGAAGUCGAAUCACUUUAGUAUGUAUUAUUUUUGCUGAAGUUUUUCCAGCACAGAGCACAUAUAUGUGUAAAUAUAUAUGGCAUCCGCUAUUCAUACAGUGGCUUAAGGCUGUAUAUUUUAUCUGUAAAUAUAUAGAAAUAAAAAAUUACAUUAAUUAAGACACGGUCCUGUUUCGUGCAGUGAACCUGAUCUGUGCUCAUGAAUAUUGAAGGUGCCUUCAGCCACAUUUCAAAGGAAGGUAAUUAAAACUGCCCUAAACAGCUAUGGCAUAACCUUCUUAAUUAUUGAGUGGAUGGACUAUAUGUUGACCAAUCGACUUAUUGAGAUCACUAAAGAAAAAUGAUCUAUUUGGAGAAUAAUGAACACAGGAAGGAUCAAAGAGGUAUCUUAUCUCCCCUCAUCUGGUGCUUAGUGGUUGAUGAACUCCUAUGGGAACUAUCUGAAAGUAAUAUCCUUGUUCUCGUUUGGGGUCUCUUCCUUGAGCCAAAGGGUAAUCGCCCUUGUAGAAUGCUGGUGUCUUGAAUCUGGACUUUCUAUCAACCCGAGGAAUGCAGAAGUCACCUUGUUCAUAAGAAAAUACUAAUGACAAAACCUGAUUCUUCGAAUUGGUGGGCAGGAACACAGUGAAGUACUUCUAAAUAAUUUUGGACAGUAAAUUGUCCUAAAAGGACCAUCUGGACUUUCUGAGAAAAAGGCUCUCAGUCUGCCUUUGAUAAACUAGAAAGGCUAGGCUGACUUAUCCUGCGUCAGUUUUGUGAAACAUUGUUGCCUUUUCCACCUCUAAUAGGCAACUGAAAAAAUUGAGGGGAUUGGUGCUGAGAAUUACUGAGGCUGUGAUGUUUAUCCUAUAGGGGCGCUAGAUAUGCUUCUUGACAUUGAACUCUUCAAAGUAGCCCUUAGAACAAGCCACAACAAAGACCCUUUAAUGGAUCAAAUGCAUCGACUGUGAGGUGGUAAUGUAAGACUCUUUGAUUUCCCUAAGUGCGUGAUUAUAAGAGGCAAACUUGAGAUGCCUCCGAUCGCACGAGGACCCUCUUCCUUUUCGACAAAAAUGCGACAUCAGUCUCCUCGGGUAAAAUCUCCAUAAGGUCUGACAGUGACUUUGAUACUGGUGGGUUCAGAAACACGGGGAGAAGCAGUUACAACCAUCAAAGUGGGAUUAGGUAUUCCCUACCUUUGGGUUAGUUUGCUAUUGAGACAGAAGUAAUGAUUAUUACUCAUUGUGCCUAGGAAAUGCUAAUGCCAUAACAUUAUAGAGUUGGACACUCAACAAAGUCAAAGCUGUUAGAAGACUGCCACCAAACCCUCAGCAGACUAUCGUCCCGAACCAAGGUGGUUUUGCUCUGGGUUCCGAGACUCAUUUAAGCAUUCGAGUGUAGGUUUUGAUGCCCGUAGAAAUUUGAUUAACUACUUUAAAUGUCUCCAACCAAUCCUCAAAGGAGUGACAAAUUCACUACAGAAUGAUAUUAUAAUAUAUAAAAGCAGAAAGCCAAGGAAUCAUCCGCGCUUUUAAGGUGUAAAUAAGCCUAAACUCGAUAAGAAUAAUAGUAAUAAUACUUAAAAUAAUAAAAAACAAUAUUAACGUAACAUUAAACCCAUUCCACUUGAAACGCCAAACAAAACGCUGACAUGCUAGUGAAAUAGGAAAAACCGCGAUCAUAAGCGUGAACUUUUAGUGGAACGGACUUAUACUACUAGGUACCAAGUACUACCCAUGUACUACGUGACUUUCAUGACUACAACCUAGAACCGCAGGUCCCUGUGAAGUUGAUGCGGUCGGGAAUAAUGACAUCAAUAAUGUAGUGUUGUCAAACAAUAGACCUGUUUCAACCUACUAUUCUACUGUUUUCACGUUAAAAUCUCCUGUUAAAUUUACUUAAUUACAACUUGUGGAAAAAAAUGCGAGCAACUCCAAUUGUACCAUCUCUCCCCACUGAAAAAGCUCAGUCUACUUUUUAUUGUCAUCUGAUUUUGGUAAUAAACCGCCGGGAAUUCCCUACGUAGGUACGCUGAAAAUGCUUAUCCUGCAUUUUAGACCAUCAGCAAUUCGUUAGGCUGGGUAUGGUGUAAUAAUAAUAGUAAUUGUGAUUGUAUGUCGAUAUCCUAGUUUAACAAAAGGUACUCGUCAAAUCAAAAAUUACGUGAUAAACAAAAAUCGUUGUGUAAACUAAACUGUAAAAGGUAGUUCUGGCCCUGGCCUAUCAGAUCAAUUUUGCAAAAAAAAAUUAUGCUGCUCAAUUAAGUAUUUCUCAGAACGUGACCGUCGUGAAUAUUUACGAAAGCUUCGCUCAGAAAUAAGUUUAAAGGUAUAGAAUAGAUUGUAGCUUAUGUUUUAGAUUAUAUUAAUGUUUUCCAGUACAUUUUGUUUGUUUUAUAAAAACAAAUAAAACUGCUUAAUACCUUU
Molecule: unclassified non-coding RNA, 4218 nt
Filed under: Agrilus planipennis (emerald ash borer)
Lineage: Eukaryota; Metazoa; Arthropoda; Insecta; Coleoptera; Buprestidae
Description: zinc finger protein OZF, transcript variant X1
Source: RNAcentral